GAGGCUGGGGAGGAGGAGGACAUGAGCCCAGCAUCACAUGGAAUCACGACUGGAUGCAGCUGGCUUUCUGUGCUCUACCUGCUUACGGCUUUUUAAUCACAAGUGAGGAAAGCUUAUUUUGAAGACGUGAUAUACUCCUCAUGUGACAUACUCAGGGGCUGAGUCCAUCUCCAAGGUAGCCUGGACGCCUCUGAAGUUGCAGCUGGGAGACCGGCAUUUGGUCCAGAUGCUAAGCCAACCCGAGCCUCAGGUCUCUGUUUUCUUACACGACGAGCUCUGUCAGCUCUCAGUUACCAAAGCUGGUUCCAAGUACCUCCCAAAAGACUGGACCUCAACACCUCUGUAUUCUUCCUAGGAUGCUGCCUGUUUAGUCUCUCACUGACUAUCUCCAGCGUGUGGCCAAGUGAUUUGGAGGCGGCCCAAAGAGGUCAAAUUUUGAAGUUGAGAGUAGCCGCCUGUAUGACUUUGGAAAUGUUACUUACUCACCUAAAGUCCUGUGUCAUCUUUAACAUGAGUUCAACAACCAUUGAGUUUCUA
Non-coding RNA from Rattus norvegicus (Norway rat), 537 nucleotides. NCBI's taxonomy places the organism in Eukaryota, Metazoa, Chordata, Mammalia, Rodentia, Muridae. The record is from RefSeq and is a predicted model, not a curated record.